RNAcentral lists this ribosomal RNA (511 nucleotides) under uncultured bacterium. RNAcentral describes it as "bacterial SSU rRNA". It matches the Rfam family "Bacterial small subunit ribosomal RNA", at positions 28 to 528 of the family's 1533-position model. The record is from RNAcentral.
GACGAACGCUGGCGGCGUGGAUUAGGCAUGCAAGUCGAACGGUAUCAUCCUUUCGGGGGUGAGAGAGUGGCGAACUGGUGAGUAACACGUAGGUUAUCUACCCUCAAGACGGGGACAACCCAGGGAAACUUGGGCUAAUACCGGAUGUGAGCAACUUUUAGUUGUUUGAAAGGUGGCGUAAGCUGUCGCUUGGGGAUGAGCCUGCGUCCUAUUAGUUAGUUGGUGAGGUAACGGCUCACCUAGGCAAUGAUAGGUAGGCGGCCUUAACGGGUGGUCGCCCACACUGGGAUUGAGAUACGGCCCAGACUCCUACGGGAGGCAGCAGUCGAGAAUAGUCUACAAUGGUCGGAAGACUGAUAGUGCGACGCCGCGUGAACGAUGAAUCCCUUCGGGGUGUAAAGUUCUUUUAUAUGUGAGCAGUGCUUCUUAUAUUAACAGUAUGGGGAGAGAGAUAUUAGCAUAUGAAUAAGCAAACGGCUAAACUCCGUGCCAGCAGCCGCGGUAAACUCGU